GACGAACGCUGGCGGCAUGCUUAACACAUGCAAGUCGAACGAUCACUCCGGGCUUUUUUGCGCUCGUCUGCUUACGGCCUGGUGACUUACCCUUGGGUUCCCUGUACUUCACUGUAAUUUGACCUAAUACCGCAUAGUCUCUUCGCGCCAAAGAUUUCUUGCGUUUGGAUGGGCCCGGGUUGGAUUCGCUGGUUGGUGGGGUAAAGGCCUACCAAGGCGACGAUCCAUGGCUGGUCUGAGAGGAUGACCAGCCACACUGGGACUGAGACACGGCCCAGACUCCUAGGGGAGGGAGCAGUGGGGAAUAUUGGACAAGGGGCGAAAGCCUGAUCAAGCAAUGCCGGGGAAGUGAUGAAGGCAGUAGGGUUGUAAAGCUCUUUUAGCCGAGAUGAUAAUGACAGUACCGGGAGAAUAAGCCCCGGCUAACUACGUG
RNAcentral lists this ribosomal RNA (433 nucleotides) under uncultured bacterium. Its description in RNAcentral is "partial 16S ribosomal RNA". It matches the Rfam family "Bacterial small subunit ribosomal RNA", at positions 28 to 507 of the family's 1533-position model. The record is from RNAcentral.